AUUGAACGCUGGCGGCAUGCUUUACACAUGCAAGUCGAACGGUAACAGGUUAAGCUGACGAGUGGCGAACGGGUGAGUAAUGCAUCGGAACGUGCCCGGUCGUGGGGGAUAACGCAGCGAAAGCUGCGCUAAUACCGCAUACGAUCUGAGGAUGAAAGCGGGGGACCGUAAGGCCUCGCGCGAUCGGAGCGGCCGAUGUCAGACUAGGUAGUUGGUGGGGUAAAGGCUCACCAAGCCGACGAUCUGUAGCUGGUCUGAGAGGACGACCAGCCACACUGGGACUGAGACAGGGCCCAGACUCCUACGGGAGUCAGCAGUGGGGAAUUUUGGACAAUGGGCGCAAGCCUGAUCCAGCAAUGCCGCGUGCAGGAAGAAGGCCUUCGGGUUGUAAACUGCUUUUGUACGGAGCGAAAAGGCUCUCUCUAAUACAGGGGGCUCAUGACGGUACCGUAAGAAUAAGCACCGGCUAACUACGUGCCAGCAGCCGCCGUAA
RNAcentral lists this ribosomal RNA (493 nucleotides) under uncultured bacterium. RNAcentral describes it as "partial 16S ribosomal RNA". It matches the Rfam family "Bacterial small subunit ribosomal RNA", at positions 29 to 523 of the family's 1533-position model. The record is from RNAcentral.